RNAcentral lists this unclassified non-coding RNA (277 nucleotides) under Hevea brasiliensis (rubber tree). The record is from RNAcentral. Lineage: Eukaryota; Viridiplantae; Streptophyta; Magnoliopsida; Malpighiales; Euphorbiaceae.
AUAUUUUUCUCCACUAAAUGGUUGCUACUAGUUCAAUUCAAUAUAGCAUGAAAGGGAUACCCAUAAAAAGGAUGGAUUUGCCAAUGCUAUGUUUAACACAACAUGAAUAUGGUUGUAAUAUCUAUUACCAUACUUUGGCAUAUAUUUACAUGUCAUAAACCAGAUAUUGAUGUGAAUUUUUAUAUAUUUUCGAGAGGAACAAUUAGAGACUAGAGAGUAUAACUUAAGGAUGAUAUUGAAAUUCUAGCAUUACAUAGCAUGUUAAAAUUGACUGUAU